This is a long non-coding RNA of Coturnix japonica (Japanese quail), 1142 nucleotides long. RefSeq lists it as uncharacterized. The record is from RefSeq and is a predicted model, not a curated record. NCBI's taxonomy places the organism in Eukaryota, Metazoa, Chordata, Aves, Galliformes, Phasianidae.
CAUUUACCUUUUGAUGACUGGAGUUGAGAAUGUAGAAGCACGAAGAGUCAUUAGAAAAGAUUCCUUUGUUCUUUUAGCAUCUUGUGACAAAUAAAGCUUUGUUUUAAAUUAUUUUAGAGAGUUCAAUUCCGUCAUCCAUCUGCAUACAGGAAGAUCAACGACACCAACCUCACGUGCUUCGAGCAGCUCAGUGUAUCAUGCAUCAUUGUAGUGGAGAACCCCCAUCUUCAAAGAGGCUCAAUGGGACUAGGGAUACAUGAACUUGCUUCAAAGAACUGGCUGCUUACAUACAGAGAAUAUGCCCGAGAGAUGUGAAGCACAUGGAAGAGACAGUAAAAAGCUGCAGGUUUGAAUAUGAGAAUGUCAUAUGAGACAUGAGAAUCCUGAUAGCAGCACAGAGCUAGAUGGAAGCAGAAUAUAGGGCCUUGCUCCAGCAAGAAAAAGAUAUUAAAGCUAACAGGGAACCAAAGUCAGAUGGAAGCGGCUUCAGAAGGGCAGCAUCCUAAAUAAGCCUCCUAAAUCCAGCCUGAUUUCCAACCUGUUUGAGCCACGGCAUUUUAGCUUCCGUAAACACAGAAGAAAGAGUAUGAAGGACUGUGUCUGGAUGAGAGAAGAGGCUCCUUGGAGAACAGCCGGAGCAAGAAAUCCUGCUAGAGGGUUUGAUCAUAGGUUAAGUGACAAGCAUGCCGUUGCAAAUUGAAAGAUGAAGUGUGCUAUUUUAAGAAGUUCUUUUCCUUAUUUCUUUUCUUUUCUGCUGCUACUGUUCAAACAAAGUAAUUUGUCUUUUUUGUUUUUUUUUGAGAUGAUAUUUCUGAACACUGCACUUUACUGACCCAAUGAGAGAAUGUGCAGCUGCCUGAAUCUGUGGGGAAAGGUCAGUGAUCCGUGGGGUUGUGCACUGAAAGGUUCAGGGGAAGUGGGGAAAAACUGGAUGAUGCCACCUCACAGCUGAUGGACGCACACAGCCUGAGCCCUGAAGGAAUGUGGUAUUAAACAGCGGUAUUAAACAGGUGACCAUUCAGGUGUGCAGCUGAUCUUACAAGUGUAACACUUGCCUGCUGUGUUCUCUCAGUCACCAAAUAAACUGCACAGUUUUUGUCCAAUACUCUUAACAUAAAUCAGGAAACAGAGCAAAAAAAAAA